GCGGGCGUAGUCCAAUGGUAGAAUGCGAGCUUCCCAAGCUUGAGACGAGGGUUCGAUUCCCUUCGCCCGCACCA
Molecule: transfer RNA, 74 nt
Filed under: Alphaproteobacteria bacterium
Lineage: Bacteria; Pseudomonadati; Pseudomonadota; Alphaproteobacteria
Also listed under: 1 other name
Description: tRNA-Gly
Rfam family: tRNA
About the family: Transfer RNA (tRNA) molecules are approximately 80 nucleotides in length. Their secondary structure includes four short double-helical elements and three loops (D, anti-codon, and T loops).
Source: RNAcentral